This 435-nucleotide unclassified non-coding RNA is filed under the name Hevea brasiliensis (rubber tree). The record is from RNAcentral. Lineage: Eukaryota; Viridiplantae; Streptophyta; Magnoliopsida; Malpighiales; Euphorbiaceae.
GCCCUUGGCACCGAGAGAUAACAGCAUUGCUGCUUGACCGUACGCCAUGCCGCAGUUCACUGUAUAGACUUUGGCUUUGCAAUAUCCCAUAGUAUCAGCAAUAGCAUAUGCCUCAGUUUCAGAUCCAACGUUUUCCAUUUUCUCAUUCUGUGUCCCUGGUGAAUUUAUGUACAGGUAUAUAGGUUUGGAGGGACUAUCAUAAUCUAACCACAUAAACUGAGCGACAAGAAGCUCAGUCACUGCUGGAACUAUAGGCAUGCCCAAGUAGACAAUUCGAGCAUCUAGGAGCAGUGAAGGCAAAUCCGGAGGUGCAGUUCUUGGCCUUCCGUAUCCCCGGGAACCUCCACGGUACAUACUUACACUCAUACUGUACCUUGAUGGUCCCUCCUUCAUGCCAGAAAGGCUAUACAUCCCUCCAUUAUCAAGGUAAUUCCU